Molecule: ribosomal RNA, 253 nt
Filed under: uncultured bacterium
Lineage: Bacteria
Description: partial 16S ribosomal RNA
Rfam family: Bacterial small subunit ribosomal RNA
Source: RNAcentral
UACGUAGGGUGCGAGCGUUAAUCGGAAUUACUGGGCGUAAAGCGUGCGUAGGCGGUUCGUUAAGUGCGUCGUGAAAGCCCCGGGCUCAACCUGGGAAUGGCGAUGGAAACUGGCGGGCUGGAGUAUGGCAGAGGGGGGUGGAAUUCCGCGUGUAGCGGUGAAAUGCGCAGAUAUCCGGAGGAACACCGGUGGCGAAGGCGGCUUCCUGGACCGACACUGACGCUGAGGCGCGAAAGCUAGGGGAGCAAACGGG